Small nuclear RNA from Cyprinus carpio carpio, 57 nucleotides. Its record names the gene U7. It matches the Rfam family "U7 small nuclear RNA". From Rfam's summary of the family: Animal histone pre-mRNAs are spliced by a different mechanism than nuclear pre-mRNAs and self-splicing introns. This processing involves the U7 snRNP, which contains only one RNA species: U7. The record is from Ensembl. Lineage: Eukaryota; Metazoa; Chordata; Actinopteri; Cypriniformes; Cyprinidae.
AAAUACACAAAAUCUUUUAGUAUUUGUCUAGAAGGUUUCCUUUUAAAGGAAGUCCAU